CCCCUGGAGGACUAGUGGUUAGGCCAUGGCACUCUCACUGCAGCAGCUUGGGUUCGAUUCUCGGCCAGGGAA
RNAcentral lists this transfer RNA (72 nucleotides) under Pangasianodon hypophthalmus (striped catfish). It matches the Rfam family "tRNA". Rfam says of the family: Transfer RNA (tRNA) molecules are approximately 80 nucleotides in length. Their secondary structure includes four short double-helical elements and three loops (D, anti-codon, and T loops). Lineage: Eukaryota; Metazoa; Chordata; Actinopteri; Siluriformes; Pangasiidae. The record is from Rfam by way of RNAcentral.